GAGAAAGACAUAAUGGCUAUGACAUUGGCUUGAAACCAGUUUUAGGAGGUUCGAUUCCUUCCUUUCUUA
This 69-nucleotide transfer RNA is filed under the name Viverra tangalunga (Malayan civet). RNAcentral's name for it is "tRNA-Ser". It matches the Rfam family "tRNA". Rfam says of the family: Transfer RNA (tRNA) molecules are approximately 80 nucleotides in length. Their secondary structure includes four short double-helical elements and three loops (D, anti-codon, and T loops). The record is from RNAcentral. Lineage: Eukaryota; Metazoa; Chordata; Mammalia; Carnivora; Viverridae.